RNAcentral lists this ribosomal RNA (388 nucleotides) under Rhizobium sp. FES21. Its description in RNAcentral is "bacterial SSU rRNA". It matches the Rfam family "Bacterial small subunit ribosomal RNA", at positions 965 to 1352 of the family's 1533-position model. Lineage: Bacteria; Pseudomonadati; Pseudomonadota; Alphaproteobacteria; Hyphomicrobiales; Rhizobiaceae. The record is from RNAcentral.
AGAACCUUACCAGCUCUUGACAUUCGGGGUAUGGGCAUUGGAGACGAUGUCCUUCAGUUAGGCUGGCCCCAGAACAGGUGCUGCAUGGCUGUCGUCAGCUCGUGUCGUGAGAUGUUGGGUUAAGUCCCGCAACGAGCGCAACCCUCGCCCUUAGUUGCCAGCAUUUAGUUGGGCACUCUAAGGGGACUGCCGGUGAUAAGCCGAGAGGAAGGUGGGGAUGACGUCAAGUCCUCAUGGCCCUUACGGGCUGGGCUACACACGUGCUACAAUGGUGGUGUCAGUGGGCAGCGAGACAGCGAUGUCGAGCUAAUCUCCAAACCCCCUCUCAUUCGGAUUGCACUCUGCAACUCGAUGCAUGAAGUUGGAAUCGCUAGUAAUCGCAGAUCAG